RNAcentral lists this ribosomal RNA (348 nucleotides) under Streptomyces sp. SID4926. RNAcentral describes it as "partial 23S ribosomal RNA". It matches the Rfam family "Bacterial large subunit ribosomal RNA", at positions 1 to 308 of the family's 2925-position model. The record is from RNAcentral. RNAcentral also lists the same sequence under 2 other names. Lineage: Bacteria; Bacillati; Actinomycetota; Actinomycetes; Kitasatosporales; Streptomycetaceae.
ACAGUGGACGCGAGCAUCUGUGGCCAAGUUUUUAAGGGCGCACGGUGGAUGCCUUGGUACCAGGAACCGAUGAAGGACGUGGGAGGCCGCGAUAGGCCCCGGGGAGCUGUCAACCGAGCUUUGAUCCGGGGGUGUCCGAAUGGGGAAACCCGGCAGUCGUCAUGGGCUGUCACCCGCUGCUGAAUGUAUAGGCAGUGUGGAGGGAACGCGGGGAAGUGAAACAUCUCAGUACCCGCAGGAAGAGAAAACAACCGUGAUUCCGGGAGUAGUGGCGAGCGAAACCGGAUGAGGCCAAACCGUAUGUGUGUGAUACCCGGCAGGGGUUGCAUGUACGGGGUUGUGGGAUUG